UUAGAGUUUGAUCCUGGCUCAGAUUGAACGCUGGCGGCAUGCCUUACACAUGCAAGUCGAACGGUAACAGGGAGCUUGCUCCGCUGACGAGUGGCGAACGGGUGAGUAAUAUAUCGGAACAUACCCUAGAGUGGGGGAUAACGUAGCGAAAGUUACGCUAAUACCGCAUACGAACUAAGGUUGAAAGUGGGGGCUCGCAAGACCUCAUGCUCAUGGAGUGGCCGAUAUCUGAUUAGCUAGUUGGUGAGGUAAAGGCUCACCAAGGCGACGAUCAGUAGCUGGUUUGAGAGAACGACCAGCCACACUGGAACUGAGACACGGUCCAGACUCCUACGGGAGGCAGCAGUGGGGAAUUUUGGACAAUGGGGGCAACCCUGAUCCAGCAAUGCCGCGUGAGUGAAGAAGGCCUUCGGGUUGUAAAGCUCUUUUGUCAGGGAAGAAACGGUGAGGUCUAAUACACUUUACUAAUGACGGUACCUGAAGAAUAAGCACCGGCUAACUACGUGCCAGCAGCCGCGGUAAUACGUAGGGUGCAAGCGUUAAUCGGAAUUACUGGGCGUAAAGCGUGCGCAGGCGGUUAUAUAAGUCAGAUGUGAAAUCCCCGGGCUCAACCUGGGAACUGCAUUUGAGACUGUAUGGCUAGAGUGUGUCAGAGGGGGGUAGAAUUCCACGUGUAGCAGUGAAAUGCGUAGAUAUGUGGAGGAAUACCGAUGGCGAAGGCAGCCCCCUGGGAUAACACUGACGCUCAUGCACGAAAGCGUGGGGAGCAAACAGGAUUAGAUACCCUGGUAGUCCACGCCCUAAACGAUGUCUACUAGUUGUUGGGUCUUAAUUGACUUAGUAACGCAGCUAACGCGUGAAGUAGACCGCCUGGGGAGUACGGUCGCAAGAUUAAAACUCAAAGGAAUUGACGGGGACCCGCACAAGCGGUGGAUGAUGUGGAUUAAUUCGAUGCACCGCGAAAAACCUUACCUACCCUUGACAUGUACAGAAUGCCGAAGAAAUUUGGCGGUGCUCGCAAGAGACUGUAACCAAGUGCUGCAUGCUGUCGUCAGUCGUGUCUGAAAUGUUGGGUUAGUCCCGCACGAGCGCACCCUUGUCUUAGUUGUACUUAAGUUGAGCCUCCAAUGAACUGCCGUGACAACCGGAGGAAGUGGGGAUGAGUCCAGUCUCAUGGCCC
RNAcentral lists this ribosomal RNA (1180 nucleotides) under uncultured bacterium. Its description in RNAcentral is "bacterial SSU rRNA". It matches the Rfam family "Bacterial small subunit ribosomal RNA", at positions 1 to 1201 of the family's 1533-position model. The record is from RNAcentral.